This 312-nucleotide long non-coding RNA is filed under the name Gallus gallus (chicken). The record is from RNAcentral. Lineage: Eukaryota; Metazoa; Chordata; Aves; Galliformes; Phasianidae.
AACACGGGAGAGAAAAAUUUAUUGCUGUGGGGCUCACUACUGGGGUUGUAGGCAUGCUUUAUUUGUGCAAACUCAUAAGAGGUGGAGAAAGUAGAGCAGAUCAAGCAAACUACAGGGAUACCGUCAGGUACACCCUUGUUCUGUGCUCCCACAGUCCUUCUCUGAUGACUCUAAGCUCAGGGAUAAGAAAAUCUGAGAAAGCUGCUGGAAAGGCUUUCAUCCUUAUCCACACACGAGGGGAAAAGCACCUUUUGCUUCUCCAAGCUAAGAAGAAAGAGACUCUCCGAACCUGAGAGAUGUUCCUGGUUUGUU